CCUAUACUGCGAGUGAAGCGGGAAAAGCUCAAAUUUAAAAUCUGACAGUCUUUGAUUGUCCGAGUUGUAAUCUAGAGAAGUAUUAUCCGCACUGAACCAUGUAUAAGUCUUCUGGAAUGGAGUGUCAUAGAGGGUGAGAAUCCCGUCUUUGACAUGGACUACCAGUGCUUUGUGAUAUGCUCUCAAAGAGUCGAUGUUGUUUGGGAAUGCAGCUCUAAAUGGGUGGUAAAUUCCAUCUAAAGCUAAAUAUUGGCAAGAGACCGAUAGCGAACAAGUACCGUGAGGGAAAGAUGAAAAGAACUUUGGAAAGAGAGUUAAACAGUACGUGAAAUUGUUGAAAGGGAAACGCUUGAAGUCAGUCACAUUAACUAGAAAUCAACCUUGCACAUCGCCUGGUGUAUUUUCUGGCUUUAAUGGGUCAGCAUCAAUUUUGACCAGUGGAAAAAGGUCAAGGGAAUGUAGCAUCCUCGGAUGUGUUUAUAGCCUUUGAUUGUAUACAUUGGUUGGGAUUGAGGAACUCAGCACUUGUUGUUUAGGAUGCUGGCAUAAUGGCUUUAAUCGACCCGUCUUGAAACACGGACCAAGGAGUCUAACAUGCCUGCGAGUGUUUGGGUGGAAAACUCAAGCGCAUAAUGAAAGUGAAAGUUGGGAUCUCUGUCAUGGAGAGCACCGACACCCAGACCUGACCUUCUGUGACGGAUCUGCGGUAGAGCAUGUAUGUUGGGACCCGAAAGAUGGUGAACUAUGCCUGAAUAGGGUGAAGCCAGAGGAAACUCUGGUGGAGGCUCGUAGCGAUUCUGACGUGCAAAUCGAUCGUCGAAUUGGGUAUAGGG
RNAcentral lists this ribosomal RNA (833 nucleotides) under Entoloma callidermum. RNAcentral describes it as "eukaryotic LSU rRNA". It matches the Rfam family "Eukaryotic large subunit ribosomal RNA", at positions 79 to 922 of the family's 3401-position model. Lineage: Eukaryota; Fungi; Basidiomycota; Agaricomycetes; Agaricales; Entolomataceae. The record is from RNAcentral.